CUACGUAGGGGGCGAGCGUUGUCCGGAAUGAUUGGGCGUAAAGGGCGCGUAGGCGGCGCGGUAAGUCUGGAGUGAAAGUCCUGCUUUCAAGGUGGGAAUUGCUUUGGAUACUGCCGCGCUUGAGUGCAGGAGAGGUUAUCGGAAUUCCCGGUGUAGCGGUGAAAUGCGUAGAGAUCGGGAGGAACACCAGUGGCGAAGGCGGGUAACUGGACUGCAACUGACGCUGAGGCGCGAAAAUGUGGGGAGCAAACAGGAUUAGAUACCCUGGUAGUCCACACUGUAAACGAUGAAUGCUAGGUGUAAGAGGUAUCGACCCCUUUUGUGCCGGAGUCAACACAAUAAGCAUUCCGCCUGGGGAGUACGGCCGCAAGGUUGAAACUCAAAUGAAUUGACGGGG
This 397-nucleotide ribosomal RNA is filed under the name uncultured bacterium. RNAcentral's name for it is "partial 16S ribosomal RNA". It matches the Rfam family "Bacterial small subunit ribosomal RNA", at positions 523 to 918 of the family's 1533-position model. The record is from RNAcentral.